Molecule: ribosomal RNA, 400 nt
Filed under: uncultured bacterium
Lineage: Bacteria
Description: bacterial SSU rRNA
Rfam family: Bacterial small subunit ribosomal RNA
Source: RNAcentral
UAUUGGACAAUGGGGGGAACCCUGAUCCAGCGACGCCGCGUGAGUGAAGAAGUAUCUCGGUAUGUACAGCUCUAACAGCCGGGAACAAAGAAAUGACGGUACCUGAGUCAGAAGCCCCGGCUAACCACGCGCCAGCAGCCGCGGUAAUACGUAGGGGGCAAGCGUUAUCCGGAAUUACUGGGUGUAAAGGGAGCGUAGACGGUGAUGUAAGUCUGGAGUGAAAGGCGGGGGCCCAACCCUCGGACUGCUCUGGAAACUAUGUGACUGGAGUGCAGGAGAGGUGAGCGGAAUUCCUAGUGUAGCGGUGAAAUGCGUAGAUAUUAGGAGGAACACCAGUGGCGAAGGCGGCUCACUGGACUGUAACUGACGUUGAGGCUCGAAAGCGUGGGGAGCAAACAGG